CUCUCAGCCACCAGUCACCUCUUCCCCCAACCCCCUGACCUCCCACUUCUCUUCUCAAUUCAACUGCUCUUCAGGAUUUCUGGUUGCACUACCUCUGGAGACAAGACUCUAGCAUUUGUUCUUAGUUACCUGACCCUCAGGAAGAUUUAGGCUUUUUUUUUUUCUCCCAUCUCACCUUGUAUAAAUAUGUCUUCUCAGUAUAGUAAUGUCAUUGGAUUGAGGAUACUUGUUUGCAGAGGAGGCAAGAAUGCGUUGUUCCGUUUUUGAAUUCCACACAUCUAAUAUGGAGCCUGAGCCACAGGGCUCAAAAUGUUAAGUAAACAAAUGAAUGGGAAAUUAAUAAGAAGAAUGCAUUGGCAAGACCGUG
RNAcentral lists this long non-coding RNA (367 nucleotides) under Homo sapiens (human). Its description in RNAcentral is "non-protein coding lnc-CRP-2:7". The record is from RNAcentral. Lineage: Eukaryota; Metazoa; Chordata; Mammalia; Primates; Hominidae.